UCCCGAGCGUUNUCCGGAUUUAUUGGGCGUAAAGCGAGCGCAGGCGGUUAGAUAAGUCUGAAGUUAAAGGCUGUGGCUUAACCAUAGUAUGCUUUGGAAACUGUUUAACUNGAGUGCAGAAGGGGAGAGUGGAAUUCCAUGUGUAGCGGUGAAAUGCGUAGAUAUAUGGAGGAACACCGGUGGCGAAAGCGGCUCUCUGGUCUGUAACUGACGCUGAGGCUCGAAAGCGUGGGGAGCAAACAGGAUUAGAUACCCUGGUAGUCCACGCCGUAAACGAUGAGUGCUAGGUGUUAGGCCCUUUCCGGGGCUUAGUGCCGCAGCUAACGCAUUAAGCACUCCGCCUGGGGAGUACGACCGCAAGGUUGAAACUCAAAGGAAUUGACGGGGGCCCGCACAAGCGGUGGAGCAUGUGGUUUAAUUCGAAGCAACGCGAAGAACCUUACCAGGUCUUGACAUCCCUCUGACCGCUCUAGAGAUAGAGUUUUCCUUCGGGACAGAGGUGACAGGUGGUGCAUGGUUGUCGUCAGCUCGUGUCGUGAGAUGUUGGGUUAAGUCCUGCAACGAGCGCAACCCCUAUUGUUAGUUGCCAUCAUUGAGUUGGGCACUCUAGCGAGACUGCCGGUAAUAAACCGGAGGAAGGUGGGGAUGACGUCAAAUCAUCAUGCCCCUUAUGACCUGGGCUACACACGUGCUACAAUGGCUGGUACAACGAGUCGCAAGCCGGUGACGGCAAGCUAAUCUCUGAAAGCCAGUCUCAGUUCGGAUUGUAGGCUGCAACUCGCCUACAUGAAGUCGGAAUCGCUAGUAAUCGCGGAUCAGCACGCCGCGGUGAAUACGUUCCCGGGCCUUGUACACACCGCCCGUCACACCACGAGAGUUUGUAACACCCGAAGUCGGUGAGGUAACCGUAAGGAGCCAGCCGC
RNAcentral lists this ribosomal RNA (923 nucleotides) under uncultured bacterium. RNAcentral's name for it is "bacterial SSU rRNA". It matches the Rfam family "Bacterial small subunit ribosomal RNA", at positions 532 to 1456 of the family's 1533-position model. The record is from RNAcentral.